This is a non-coding RNA of Streptomyces autolyticus, 75 nucleotides long. The record is from Rfam. Lineage: Bacteria; Bacillati; Actinomycetota; Actinomycetes; Kitasatosporales; Streptomycetaceae.
CUUGAUGGAGCCCAGCAGCAGCGGCCGCUCGGCGGGCUUCUCCUUGCCGUAGGUGGCCAGCAGCGCCUGCGCCUC